AUACGUAGGGGGCGAGCGUUGUCCGGAAUGAUUGGGCGUAAAGGGCGCGUAGGCGGCCCGGUAAGUCUGGAGUGAAAGUCCUGUUUUUAAGAUGGGAAUUGCUUUGGAUACUGUCGGGCUUGAGUGCAGGAGAGGUAAGUGGAAUUCCCAGUGUAGCGGUGAAAUGCGUAGAGAUUGGGAGGAACACCAGUGGCGAAGGCGACUUUCAGGACUGUAACUGACGCUGAGGCGCGAAAGUGUGGGGAGCAAACAGGAUUAGAUACCCUGGUAGUCCACACUGUAAACGAUGAAUGCUAGGUGUAGGGGGUAUCGACCCCUUCUGUGCCGCAGUCAACACAAUAAGCAUUCCGCCUGGGGAGUACGGCCGCAAGGUUGAAACUCAAAUGAAUUGACGGGG
Molecule: ribosomal RNA, 397 nt
Filed under: uncultured bacterium
Lineage: Bacteria
Description: partial 16S ribosomal RNA
Rfam family: Bacterial small subunit ribosomal RNA
Source: RNAcentral